GAUGAACGCUGGCGGCGUGCUUAACACAUGCAAGUCGAACGGGAAACCUUUUAUUGAAGCUUCGGCAGAUUUAGCUGGUUUCUAGUGGCGGACGGGUGAGUAACGCGUGGGUAACCUGCCUUAUACAGGGGGAUAACAGUCAGAAAUGGCUGCUAAUACCGCAUAAGCGCACAGAGCUGCAUGGCUCAGUGUGAAAAACUCCGGUGGUAUAAGAUGGACCCGCGUUGGAUUAGCUGGUUGGUGGGGUAACGGCCCACCAAGGCGACGAUCCAUAGCCGGCCUGAGAGGGUGAACGGCCACAUUGGGACUGAGACACGGCCCAGACUCCUACGGGAGGCAGCAGUGGGGAAUAUUGCACAAUGGGGGAAACCCUGAUGCAGCGACGCCGCGUGAAGGAAGAAGUAUCCCGGUAUGUAAACUUCUAUAAGCAGGGAAGAUAAUGACGGUACCUGACCAAGAAGCCCCGGCUAACUACGUG
Molecule: ribosomal RNA, 478 nt
Filed under: uncultured bacterium
Lineage: Bacteria
Description: partial 16S ribosomal RNA
Rfam family: Bacterial small subunit ribosomal RNA
Source: RNAcentral